Molecule: ribosomal RNA, 829 nt
Filed under: uncultured bacterium
Lineage: Bacteria
Description: bacterial SSU rRNA
Rfam family: Bacterial small subunit ribosomal RNA
Source: RNAcentral
AGAGGUUGAUCUUGGCUCAGGACGAACGCUGGCGGCGUGCCUAACACAUGCAAGUCGAACGGAGAAUUUUAUUUCGGUAGAAUUCUUAGUGGCGAACGGGUGAGUAACGCGUAGGCUACCUGCCCUUUAGACGGGGACAACAUUCCGAAAGGAGUGCUAAUACCGGAUGUGAUCAUCGUGCCGCAUGGCAGGAUGAAGAAAGAUGGCCUCUACAAGUAAGCUAUCGCUAAAGGAUGGGCCUGCGUCUGAUUAGCUAGUUGGUAGUGUAACGGACUACCAAGGCGAUGAUCAGUAGCCGGUCUGAGAGGAUGAACGGCCACAUUGGGACUGAGACACGGCCCAAACUCCUACGGGAGGCAGCAGUGGGGAAUCUUCCGCAAUGGACGAAAGUCUGACGGAGCAACGCCGCGUGAGUGAUGAAGGAUUUCGGUCUGUAAAGCUCUGUUGUUUAUGACGAACGUGCAGUGUGUGAACAAUGCAUUGCAAUGACGGUAGUAAACGAGGAAGCCACGGCUAACUACGUGCCAGCAGCCGCGGUAAUACGUAGGUGGCGAGCGUUGUCCGGAAUUAUUGGGCGUAAAGAGCAUGUAGGCGGCUUAAUAAGUCGAGCGUGAAAAUGCGGGGCUCAACCCCGUAUGGCGCUGGAAACUGUUAGGCUUGAGUGCAGGAGAGGAAAGGGGAAUUCCCAGUGUAGCGGUGAAAUGCGUAGAUAUUGGGAGGAACACCAGUGGCGAAGGCGCCUUUCUGGACUGUGUCUGACGCUGAGAUGCGAAAGCCAGGGUAGCGAACGGGAUUAGAUACCCCGGUAGUCCUGGCCGUAAACGAUGGG